Molecule: unclassified non-coding RNA, 671 nt
Filed under: Hevea brasiliensis (rubber tree)
Lineage: Eukaryota; Viridiplantae; Streptophyta; Magnoliopsida; Malpighiales; Euphorbiaceae
Source: RNAcentral
UCUCUCUCUCUCUCUCUCUCUCUCUAAUUGCAAAGACUACACAUUCAAAAGCUUCUAUGUCCCUCCCUCUUAAUCUUCACUUUAUCCCCCUGAAAAUUUUCUUUUCUCUCUCUUAGGGUUUCUGCUGCUGGGAGACCUCUCUGCUUAGAUACAGUUGGAAAUUAAUGGGCUGAUGAUAGUAUAGUUCAAACACAGGCACAAGAUAAGAAGUAGAAUAAAUUAUGGAUCAAUCAGAGCAAACACAACAACGGCAACAGUCGCAUCAGCCACAGCAGCAGCCUGUAAUGGGAGUGGUAGCUGGUGCAGGGCAGAUGUCCUAUGCUACUACCCCCCACCCAACUUNNNNNNNNNNCCAUAGCUGUGGCUUCCCCAACUCAGCCGUCAUCCCCUUUCUCUAAUUCUCCUCAUCAGCUUACCUACCAACAGGCCCAGCACUUUCACCAUCAACGGCAGCAGCAGCAGCUUCAAGUGUUCUGGGCCAACCAAAUGCAAGAAAUUGAGCAAACAACUGACUUCAAGAAUCACAGCCUCCCACUUGCUCGAAUUAAAAAAAUAAUGAAAGCUGAUGAAGAUGUCCGAAUGAUAUCCUCUGAGGCUCCUGUUAUAUUUGCAAAGGCAUGUGAAGUGUUCAUCUUGGAGCUGACUCUGCGCUCUUGGAUUCACACAGAAGA